GGGCCCGUAACUCAGCGGUAGAGUAGAUGCCUUUUAAGCAUUCGGUCGUGAGUUCGAAUCUCACCGGGCUCA
This 72-nucleotide transfer RNA is filed under the name Chloroflexota bacterium. Its description in RNAcentral is "Chloroflexi bacterium tRNA-Lys". It matches the Rfam family "tRNA". From Rfam's summary of the family: Transfer RNA (tRNA) molecules are approximately 80 nucleotides in length. Their secondary structure includes four short double-helical elements and three loops (D, anti-codon, and T loops). Further hydrogen bonds mediate the characteristic L-shaped molecular structure. tRNAs have two regions of fundamental functional importance: the anti-codon, which is responsible for specific mRNA codon recognition, and the 3' end, to which the tRNAs corresponding amino acid is attached (by aminoacyl-tRNA synthetases). tRNAs cope with the degeneracy of the genetic code in two manners: having more than one tRNA (with a specific anti-codon) for a particular amino acid; and 'wobble' base-pairing, i.e. permitting non-standard base-pairing at the 3rd anti-codon position. Lineage: Bacteria; Bacillati; Chloroflexota. The record is from RNAcentral.